RNAcentral lists this transfer RNA (76 nucleotides) under Chlamydiota bacterium. Its description in RNAcentral is "Chlamydiae bacterium tRNA-Val". It matches the Rfam family "tRNA". Rfam says of the family: Transfer RNA (tRNA) molecules are approximately 80 nucleotides in length. The record is from RNAcentral. Lineage: Bacteria; Pseudomonadati; Chlamydiota.
UGGGCGUAUAGCUCAGUUGGUAGAGCUCCUGUCUUACACACAGGCGGUCAUAGGUUCGAGUCCUUUUGCGCCCAAC